CCCAAAACUUUACCAGGAUAUGGGUCAUU
This 29-nucleotide non-coding RNA is filed under the name Rattus norvegicus (Norway rat). Lineage: Eukaryota; Metazoa; Chordata; Mammalia; Rodentia; Muridae. The record is from RNAcentral.